Cotesia glomerata is the source of this 330-nucleotide long non-coding RNA. RefSeq lists it as uncharacterized. The record is from RefSeq and is a predicted model, not a curated record. The transcript is spliced from 2 exons. Lineage: Eukaryota; Metazoa; Arthropoda; Insecta; Hymenoptera; Braconidae.
UUAAUAAUUUUUUAUUUCAAGAAUUAUCGAAUGAUAAGAGUGUUCUGAUGUUAUAUUAUUAUUCACCGUAUUUUUUAAUAUUAAAAAAUUAUUGAGCCUUGGCGUGAGCUUUUAUAUUCAUAAAUUAAGAUUUGAAUCUGUGUUUCGGGUUAUCAUGGACCACAAUUUUCUUACUGUGAAUGAAGCUUCAGUUUUUGGUGGAUUCUAAUAAUAUUCGUUUGAAGGCUGGACAAGAUUUUUAUUGGAUCGUCAAUAACGAAGAUUGUACCGUAGAGAUUUUUUUUUUUCAUCAGCAUCUUUUUCAAUGACAGUGACUAACGCAAAGUAAAU